This 324-nucleotide ribosomal RNA is filed under the name uncultured eukaryote. RNAcentral's name for it is "partial 18S ribosomal RNA". It matches the Rfam family "Eukaryotic small subunit ribosomal RNA", at positions 1470 to 1796 of the family's 1831-position model. The record is from RNAcentral.
CCCUUAGAUGUUCUGGGCUGCACGCGCGCUACACUGAAGCUAUCAACACGUUUUCCCUCCCUGAGAAGGGCGGGUAACCUUUUGAAUCAGCUUCGUGGUAGGGAUCGGGGCUUGAAAUUGUUCCCCGUGAACCAGGAAUUCCUAGUAGACGCGAGUCAUAAGCUCGCAUCGAUUAAGUCCCUGCCCUUUGUACACACCGCCCGUCGCUACUACCGAUUGAACGUUUUAGUGAGGCAUUUGGACCGACGCAUCUCAGUUUAACCGCUGGUUUGUGUUGGAAAGACUUCCAAACUUGAGCGUUUAGAGGAAGUAAAAGUCGUAACA